RNAcentral lists this unclassified non-coding RNA (331 nucleotides) under soil metagenome. RNAcentral's name for it is "partial contains 5.8S ribosomal RNA, internal transcribed spacer 2, and large subunit ribosomal RNA". The stretch from base 1 to 120 matches the Rfam family "5.8S ribosomal RNA", at positions 35 to 154 of the family's 154-position model. The record is from RNAcentral.
GAUGAAGAACGUAGCAAAAUGCGAUAAGUAAUGUGAAUUGCAGAAUUCAGUGAAUCAUCGAAUCUUUGAACGCACAUUGCGCCCGCCAGUAUUCUGGCGGGCAUGCCUGUUCGAGCGUCAUUUCAACCCUCAAGCACAGCUUGGUGUUGGGACUCGCGUUAAUUCGCGUUCCUCAAAUUGAUUGGCGGUCACGUCGAGCUUCCAUAGCGUAGUAGUAAAACCCUCGUUACUGGUAAUCGUCGCGGCCACGCCGUUAAACCCCAACUUCUGAAUGUUGACCUCGGAUCAGGUAGGGAUACCCGCUGAACUUAAGCAUAUCAAUAGCGGAGGA